This 231-nucleotide unclassified non-coding RNA is filed under the name fungal sp. RNAcentral's name for it is "partial internal transcribed spacer region". The stretch from base 1 to 48 matches the Rfam family "Eukaryotic small subunit ribosomal RNA", at positions 1784 to 1831 of the family's 1831-position model. The record is from RNAcentral. Lineage: Eukaryota; Fungi.
AAAAGUCGUAACAAGGUAACCGUAGGUGAACCUGCGGUUGGAUCAUUAAUAAUUUUAACAAAAAGAGUAUAUAUUUUAUAUACUUUUUUUAACAAAUUGUGAAUUUUAUAAAUGUCUUUGGGGAUUAUUAUAAUUCCCAACUUUUUUAAACACAAGAGUAUUUAAAAUUGUCUAUAAUAACUUUUUAUUAAUAUAAAAAACAACUUUUGACAACGGAUCUCUUGGCUCUCG